CCCACUGCCUCCCUCCCUCCUGGCAGGAGCAGGGGCCUGCCUUCAUCUCCAAGGCCCGAGGGCUCCGGCAUCCCGACGCGGCUUCCGGCGACACGGGCAAAGAGAGACAGAGGCGAGUCCGAGCUGGAGCCAGCGUGUCCACAUGUGGCACUGUCGUCCCCCAAGAGCACAUGCAGGCAGCGUGUGUCUUUGAGGCCGUAGGGGGCGACGACGAGACGGACAGUGAUGUCCAGGCGUGCGCCCGGGGGGCCACUGGAGACCUGCCCCACAAAGCGGAGGAAAAGCCAAGCGCACCUGAAAACCUGCGAGACAGGGCCUGUGCGCGAGUCCACGCCACGUUCAGGGAGGCCCGCCAGAGGAGCCGAGACGUUUGGACAAAGUACACCCCACCCCCAGCCCGCCGCCGGCUAGGUACCCCUGACGCAAACUCCCCUGCACCCAGCCAAAACCCAGUCCCGUUGGCUCCCUGACAUCCGUGGCAGCCAAAAGAUUCGGUGCUAGAAGGCACUUUCCCCAGGAGCGG
RNAcentral lists this long non-coding RNA (523 nucleotides) under Homo sapiens (human). RNAcentral describes it as "HSALNT0397823". Lineage: Eukaryota; Metazoa; Chordata; Mammalia; Primates; Hominidae. The record is from RNAcentral.